RNAcentral lists this ribosomal RNA (445 nucleotides) under uncultured bacterium. RNAcentral describes it as "bacterial SSU rRNA". It matches the Rfam family "Bacterial small subunit ribosomal RNA", at positions 354 to 796 of the family's 1533-position model. The record is from RNAcentral.
GUGAGGAAUAUUGGACAAUGGAGGCAACUCUGAUCCAGCCAUGCCGCGUGCAGGAAGACUGCCCUAUGGGUUGUAAACUGCUUUUAUACAGGAAGAAACACUCUCACGUGUGAGAGCUUGACGGUACUGUAAGAAUAAGGAUCGGCUAACUCCGUGCCAGCAGCCGCGGUAAUACGGAGGGUCCAAGCGUUAUCCGGAAUCAUUGGGUUUAAAGGGUCCGUAGGUGGAUAAUUAAGUCAGAGGUGAAAUCCUGCAGCUCAACUGUAGAACUGCCUUUGAUACUGCUAGUCUUGAGUUAUUAUGAAGUAGUUAGAAUAUGUAGUGUAGCGGUGAAAUGCAUAGAUAUUACAUAGAAUACCAAUUGCGAAGGCAGAUUACUAAUAAUAUACUGACACUGAGGGACGAAAGCGUGGGGAGCGAACAGGAUUAGAAACCCCAGUAGUCC